CUCCAGAUGACGAGUCCCAAAUAGGACGAAACACGUCCUGGAU
This 43-nucleotide non-coding RNA is filed under the name Schistosoma mattheei. The record is from RNAcentral. Lineage: Eukaryota; Metazoa; Platyhelminthes; Trematoda; Strigeidida; Schistosomatidae.